UAGGGAAUCUUCCACAAUGGACGCAAGUCUGAUGGAGCAACGCCGCUUGAGUGAAGAAGGUUUUCGGAUCGUAAAGCUCUGUUGUUGGUGAAGAAGGAUAGAGGUAGUAACUGGCCUUUAUUUGACGGUAAUCAACCAGAAAGUCACGGCUAACUACGUGCCAGCAGCCGCGGUAAUACGUAGGUGGCAAGCGUUGUCCGGAUUUAUUGGGCGUAAAGCGAGCGCAGGCGGAAGAAUAAGUCUGAUGUGAAAGCCCUGGGCUUAACCGAGGAAUGGAAUCGGAAAAUGUUUUUGUUGAGUGCAGAAGAGGAGAGUGGAAUUCCAUGUGGAGCGGUGGAAUGCGUAGAUAAAUGGAAGGAAACCAGUGGCGAAGGCGACUCUAUGGUCUGCAACUGAAGCUGAGGCUCGAAAGCAUGGGUAGCGAACAGG
This 429-nucleotide ribosomal RNA is filed under the name bacterium. RNAcentral describes it as "partial 16S ribosomal RNA". It matches the Rfam family "Bacterial small subunit ribosomal RNA", at positions 355 to 776 of the family's 1533-position model. The record is from RNAcentral.